RNAcentral lists this ribosomal RNA (465 nucleotides) under uncultured bacterium. RNAcentral's name for it is "partial 16S ribosomal RNA". It matches the Rfam family "Bacterial small subunit ribosomal RNA", at positions 28 to 507 of the family's 1533-position model. The record is from RNAcentral.
GACGAACGCUGGCGGCGUGCUUAACACAUGCAAGUCGAACGGAAAGGCCCUGCUUGCAGGGUACUCGAGUGGCGAACGGGUGAGUAACACGUGGGUGAUCUGCCCUGCACUUCGGGAUAAGCCUGGGAAACUGGGUCUAAUACCGGAUAGGAGCCAUUUUUAGUGUGAUGGUUGGAAAGUUUUUUCGGGGUAGGAUGAGCUCGCGGCCUAUCAGCUUGUUGGUGGGGUAAUGGCCUACCAAGGCGGCGACGGGUAGCCGGCCCGAGAGGGUGGACGGCCAAAGUGGGUAUGGGAUAACGCCCAGGCCCAGUCGGGGGGCAGCAGGGGGGAAAAUUGGAACAUGGGCCGGAGCAUGAUGCAACGACGCCGAGUGGGGGAUGACGGGCCUCGGGUUGUAAACUCCGUUCCCUAGGGACGAAGAUUUUUGUGACGGUACCUAGAUAAGAAGCACCGGCUAACUACGUG